GCUAGCAGCCAUGUCACUCUGCAACUCACAACUGGUAAACCACUAAAGCUAAGCAGGUGUGAGCCUGGUCAGUACCUGGAUGGGAGACCUCCUGGGAAAAACUAAGGUUGUUGCUGGAA
Molecule: ribosomal RNA, 119 nt
Filed under: Lepisosteus oculatus (spotted gar)
Lineage: Eukaryota; Metazoa; Chordata; Actinopteri; Semionotiformes; Lepisosteidae
Source: RNAcentral